UUGCGUAGGCGGUAAUUUGUGUCAAAACUUAAAUCUUCCAGCCUAACUGGAAAUCAGGUUUUGAAACUGAAUUACUUGAGUAUCAGAGGGAUUGCCGGAACUUGCAGUGGAGCGGUGAAAUGCGUUGAGAUUGCAAGGAACACCAAUAGCGUAGGCAGGCAAUUGGCUGAUUACUGACGCUGAUGCACGAAAGCUAGGGGAGCGAAAGGGAUUAGAGACCCCUGUAGUCCUAGCCGUAAACGAUGGACACUAGCUGAUUGCUUUUUAAGGUGAUUGGCGCAAGCUAACGCGUUAAGUGUCCCGCCUGGGGAGUACGGCCGCAAGGCUAAA
RNAcentral lists this ribosomal RNA (330 nucleotides) under uncultured bacterium. RNAcentral's name for it is "bacterial SSU rRNA". It matches the Rfam family "Bacterial small subunit ribosomal RNA", at positions 567 to 898 of the family's 1533-position model. The record is from RNAcentral.